AAAGGCCAAUCAAACCCGGAAAUAGCUGGUUCUCCGCGAAAUCUAUUUAGGUAGAGCGUCAUGUAUUGCCGUCGGGGGUAGAGCACUGGAUGGGCUAGGGGGUCCCAACGACUUACCAAACCUAACCAAACUCCGAAUACCAUGGAGUAAUGCGAGGCAGACACACUGCGGGUGCUAAGGUCCGUAGUGGAGAGGGAAACAGCCCUGACCGCCAGCUAAGGUCCCUAAGUUAUCACUAAGUGGGAAACGAUGUGGGAGUGCUUAGACAACCAGGAGGUUGGCUUAGAAGCAGCCAUCCUUUAAAGAAAGCGUAACAGCUCACUGGUCUA
Molecule: ribosomal RNA, 329 nt
Filed under: Oxyrrhis marina
Lineage: Eukaryota; Dinophyceae; Oxyrrhinales; Oxyrrhinaceae
Description: partial Bacterial large subunit ribosomal RNA
Rfam family: Bacterial large subunit ribosomal RNA
Source: RNAcentral